Molecule: long non-coding RNA, 700 nt
Filed under: Bos taurus (domestic cattle)
Lineage: Eukaryota; Metazoa; Chordata; Mammalia; Artiodactyla; Bovidae
Description: long non-coding RNA NONBTAT022021
Source: RNAcentral
CUUUGGACUCUGAAAGUUGUCCCUUUCUUUAAAGAGAAUAAAUAGAAAAGAAUGUGGUUGGGAGCGAUGGUGAAUCACAAGAUUGGAUCAGAAAUUUUUUAAAAUUCCCCCUUUUUAGACAGUGAGUCAAUUUGAUCAGUUCGCUUUAUACUAUUGACUGAUGAAGGUUUGAAAGUUCUCUUUGCAGAAUAAUUUUUUUGUUGUUGUUCAGUUCUACAUUAGAAAAAUAUUGGUUUGGGAAUAUGAUAAAAAUUUAGAUUUUUUUUUUUCUUUUGGUAGUUCUUUCUCAAUAAUAAAUGAACCACUUCUAAAAGUAAUCAUGAAGUUUGGGAAGCUUUUGUUCACAGAGGUUUGAUAGUAUAGAGAGGAACAUGAUUAAUUACUCAGACCAGCCUGUUCUUUGUUUUCUUCAUUUUAGGGAAAAAAAUUAUGUAGAUACCAUGUGAAGACAGAAAUAAUUGUGGUAAGAUCGUGAAUCCUGUUGAUAUUUGCCCAAUGUUUUAAGGUUAUGGGUUUGGAUUCUCAAUAUAUCAUUUACCGUAUGCAUUAGUCUCUACCUUCUGUUUCUGUGCAUUUUUCAGUUUGUAUAUGUCCAUGCUAUUUUGCUUUUGGAUACAUUUUCUAAUUAAAAACCACAUGAGAAAUAUAAUCAGUAUAUAAACCUUAAUGUGCACAUAAUAAAUAAAUGGCUGCAGUGAUA